GUGCUUGUAGCUCAAUGGACUAGAGUACGUGGCUACGAACCACGGUGUUGGGGGUUCGAAUCCCUCCUUGCACA
RNAcentral lists this transfer RNA (74 nucleotides) under Cryptomonas sp. SAG 977-2f. Its description in RNAcentral is "tRNA-Arg". It matches the Rfam family "tRNA". From Rfam's summary of the family: Transfer RNA (tRNA) molecules are approximately 80 nucleotides in length. Their secondary structure includes four short double-helical elements and three loops (D, anti-codon, and T loops). Lineage: Eukaryota; Cryptophyceae; Cryptomonadales; Cryptomonadaceae. The record is from RNAcentral.